GAUGAACGCUGGCGGCGUGCCUAACACAUGCAAGUCGAACGAAGCACUGUUAACGGAGAUUCGUCGAAGUUAACAUUGACUUAGUGGCGGACGGGUGAGUAAUGUAUGAGCAACCUGCCUUUCAGAGGGGGACAACAGUUGGAAACGACUGCUAAUACCGCAUAAUGUAUCGAGGGGGCAUCCUCUUGAUACCAAAGGAGCAAUCCGCUGAAAGAUGGGCUCAUAUCUGAUUAGUUAGUUGGUGAGGUAACGGCUCACCAAGACUGCGAUCAGUAGCCGGACUGAGAGGUUGAACGGCCACAUUGGGACUGAGAUACGGCCCAGACUCCUACGGGAGGCAGCAGUGGGGAAUAUUGGGCAAUGGGCGAAAGCCUGACCCAGCAACGCCGCGUGAAGGAAGAAGGUCUUCGGAUUGUAAACUCUUUUAUGAGGGACGAAAACAAUGACGGUACCUCAUGAAUAAGCCACGGCUAACUACGU
Molecule: ribosomal RNA, 480 nt
Filed under: uncultured bacterium
Lineage: Bacteria
Description: bacterial SSU rRNA
Rfam family: Bacterial small subunit ribosomal RNA
Source: RNAcentral